CGCACGGCGCACGGGUGCGUAACACGUGGGUAAUCUGCCCUUCGAAGGGGAAUAACUCGCCGAAAGGCGAGCUAAUUCCGCAUAACAUUCCGAGAACCUUGGUUUUUGGAUUCAAAGGCGUAAGUCGUCGGAGGAGGAGCCCGCGCACGAUUAGCUAGUUGGUAGGGUAACGGCCUACCAAGGCUAUGAUCGUUAGCUGGUCUGAGAGGAUGGCCAGCCACACUGGAACUGAGACACGGUCCAGACUCCUACGGGAGGCAGCAGUGGGGAAUCUUGCACAAUGGGCGAAAGCCUGAUGCAGCGACGCCGCGUGGGGGAUGAA
RNAcentral lists this ribosomal RNA (322 nucleotides) under uncultured bacterium. RNAcentral's name for it is "bacterial SSU rRNA". It matches the Rfam family "Bacterial small subunit ribosomal RNA", at positions 92 to 412 of the family's 1533-position model. The record is from RNAcentral.